GAUGAACGCUGGCGGCGUGCUUAACACAUGCAAGUCGAACGGAAAGGCCCAAGCUUGCUUGGGUAUUCGAGUGGCGAACGGGUGAGUAACACGUGGGUGAUCUGCCCUGCACUUCGGGAUAAGCCUGGGAAACUGGGUCUAAUACCGGAUAGGACGAUGGUUUGGAUGCCAUUGUGGAAAGUUUUUUCGGUGUGGGAUGAGCUCGCGGCCUAUCAGCUUGUUGGUGGGGUAAUGGCCUACCAAGGCGUCGACGGGUAGCCGGCCUGAGAGGGUGUACGGCCACAUUGGGACUGAGGUACGUCCCAGACUCCGACGGGAGGCAGCAGUGGGGAAUAUUGCACAAUGGGCGCAAGCCUGAUGCAGCGACGCCGCGUGGGGGAUGACGGCCUUCGGGUUGUAAACUCCUUUCGCUAGGGACGAAGCGUUUUUGUGACGGUACCUGGAGAAGAAGCACCGGCUAACUACGU
This 467-nucleotide ribosomal RNA is filed under the name uncultured bacterium. RNAcentral's name for it is "partial 16S ribosomal RNA". It matches the Rfam family "Bacterial small subunit ribosomal RNA", at positions 28 to 506 of the family's 1533-position model. The record is from RNAcentral.